UGGGGAAUUUUGGACAAUGGGGGAAACCCUGAUCCAGCCAUCCCGCGUGUGCGAUGAAGGCCUUCGGGUUGUAAAGCACUUUUGGCAGGAAAGAAACGUCAUGGGUUCAUACCCCGUGAAACUGACGGUACCUGCAGAAUAAGCACCGGCUAACUACGUGCCAGCAGCCGCGGUAAUACGUAGGGUGCAAGCGUUAAUCGGAAUUACUGGGCGUAAAGCGUGCGCAUGCGGUUCGGAACGAAAGAUGUGAAAUCCCAGAGCUCAACUUUGGAACUGGAUUUUUAACUAACGGGAUUGAGGGUGUGAGAGGGAGGUGGAAUUGCGCGUGUAGCAGUGAAAUGCGUUGAUAUGCGGAGGAACACUGAUGGCGAAGGCAGACUCCUGGGAUAACACUGACGAUCAUGCACGAAAGCGUGGGGAGCAAACAUG
RNAcentral lists this ribosomal RNA (429 nucleotides) under Acidobacteriota bacterium. Its description in RNAcentral is "Acidobacteria bacterium partial 16S ribosomal RNA". It matches the Rfam family "Bacterial small subunit ribosomal RNA", at positions 355 to 776 of the family's 1533-position model. Lineage: Bacteria; Pseudomonadati; Acidobacteriota. The record is from RNAcentral.